Molecule: ribosomal RNA, 405 nt
Filed under: Didymium minus
Lineage: Eukaryota; Evosea; Eumycetozoa; Physariida; Didymiaceae
Description: bacterial SSU rRNA
Rfam family: Eukaryotic small subunit ribosomal RNA
Source: RNAcentral
CAACCUGGUUGAUCCUGCCAGUAGUGUAUGCUUCUCCUAAAGACUAAGCCAUGCAUGCCUUCGAAUAAGAGGAAGCAAUUCUCUCUGAAUCUGCGAACGGCUCCGCAAACCAGUUGUAAACUAUAGCAAGCAAGCCUUGUGCCUGCCUUCACGGGUGGGUGCUUGGCGAUAUGGAUAACCCUGGUAAUUCUGAGGCUAAUACAAGAACGUAAAACCUGGCUGACUGCUUUCGUGGAAGGCUGGGGGACGUGCGAGUUGUGUCGCGAGAAUUUUCCGGGAAUGGACGCACGUUCAGACCGCGCUAAAAAGGAUCGGCUUCCCUUCACGGGGGGGCUGGCCCCAGCGGCUCUUGCUUUGUGCUUCUGACCUAUCAACUAGAUGGCAGCGUAACGGACAUGCUAUGGU